CGAAACAUCGCUUUAAUGACAGAGGCAUUAUGUCAUGAACGUUUAUGACUUUUUUUAUCAUGUUUAUGACAUGUUCAUGACAGUGUCAUGUCACUCUUACUGUAUGUAGAUACCGUCAAGUAAAG
Molecule: long non-coding RNA, 125 nt
Organism: Alosa sapidissima (American shad)
Lineage: Eukaryota; Metazoa; Chordata; Actinopteri; Clupeiformes; Clupeidae
Exons: 3
Source: RefSeq, a predicted model, not a curated record